This 253-nucleotide ribosomal RNA is filed under the name uncultured bacterium. RNAcentral's name for it is "partial 16S ribosomal RNA". It matches the Rfam family "Bacterial small subunit ribosomal RNA", at positions 524 to 776 of the family's 1533-position model. The record is from RNAcentral.
UACAGAGGGGGCAAGCGUUGUUCGGAAUUACUGGGCGUAAAGGGCGCGUAGGCGGCCUGCUAAGUCGAACGUGAAAUCCCUGGGCUCAACCCAGGAACUGCGUCCGAUACUGGUUGGCUUGAGUCCGGAAGAGGAGUGUGGAAUUCCUGGUGUAGCGGUGAAAUGCGCAGAUAUCAGGAGGAACACCAAUGGCGAAGGCAGCACUCUGGGACGUGACUGACGCUGAGACGCGAAAGCGUGGGGAGCAAACAGG